Molecule: ribosomal RNA, 461 nt
Filed under: uncultured bacterium
Lineage: Bacteria
Description: bacterial SSU rRNA
Rfam family: Bacterial small subunit ribosomal RNA
Source: RNAcentral
GGACCCGCACAAGCGGUGGAUGAUGUGGUUUAAUUCGACGCAACGCGAAAAACCUUACCUACCCUUGACAUGUCUGGAAUUUUGCAGAGAUGCGAAAGUGCUCGAAAGAGAGCCAGAACACAGGUGCUGCAUGGCCGUCGUCAGCUCGUGUCGUGAGAUGUUGGGUUAAGUCCCGCAACGAGCGCAACCCUUGUCAUUAGUUGCUACGAAAGGGCACUCUAAUGAGACUGCCGGUGACAAACCGGAGGAAGGUGGGGAUGACGUCAGGUCAUCAUGGCCCUUAUGGGUAGGGCUACACACGUCAUACAAUGGCCGGUACAGAGGGCAGCCAACCCGCGAGGGGGAGCCAAUCCCAGAAAACCGGUCGUAGUCCGGAUCGCAGUCUGCAACUCGACUGCGUGAAGUCGGAAUCGCUAGUAAUCGCGGAUCAGCUUGCCGCGGUGAAUACGUUCCCGGGUCUU